This 77-nucleotide transfer RNA is filed under the name candidate division WWE3 bacterium. RNAcentral describes it as "tRNA-Arg". It matches the Rfam family "tRNA". From Rfam's summary of the family: Transfer RNA (tRNA) molecules are approximately 80 nucleotides in length. Their secondary structure includes four short double-helical elements and three loops (D, anti-codon, and T loops). Further hydrogen bonds mediate the characteristic L-shaped molecular structure. tRNAs have two regions of fundamental functional importance: the anti-codon, which is responsible for specific mRNA codon recognition, and the 3' end, to which the tRNAs corresponding amino acid is attached (by aminoacyl-tRNA synthetases). tRNAs cope with the degeneracy of the genetic code in two manners: having more than one tRNA (with a specific anti-codon) for a particular amino acid; and 'wobble' base-pairing, i.e. permitting non-standard base-pairing at the 3rd anti-codon position. Lineage: Bacteria; candidate division WWE3. RNAcentral also lists the same sequence under 1 other name. The record is from RNAcentral.
GCUCCCAUAGCUCAACUGGACAGAGCGUUGGUUUCCGGAACCAAAGGUUGGGCGUUCGAGUCGCCCUGGGAGCACCA